UGGGGAAUCUUGCGCAAUGCGCGAAAGCGUGACGCAGCAACGCCGCGUGGGGGAAGAAUGCCGUCGGGUUGUAAACCCCUUUCAGUUGGGACGAAGCUUCGACGGUGAACAGCCGGCUGGAGUGACGGUACCUUCAGAAGAAGCCCCGGCUAACUCCGUGCCAGCAGCCGCGGGAAUACGUAGGGGGCAAGCGUUGUCCGGAAUCAUUGGGCGUAAAGCGCGUGUAGGCGGUUCGAUAAGUCUGCUGUGAAAGUCCAGGGCUCAACCCUGGGAUGCCGGUGGAUACUGUCGGACUAGAGUGCGGAAGAGGCGAGUGGAAUUCCCGGUGUAGCGGUGAAAUGCGCAGAUAUCGGGAGGAACACCAAUUGCGAAGGCAGCUCGCUGGGACGUUACUGACGCUGAGACGCGAAAGCGUGGGGAGCAAACAGG
RNAcentral lists this ribosomal RNA (429 nucleotides) under uncultured prokaryote. Its description in RNAcentral is "bacterial SSU rRNA". It matches the Rfam family "Bacterial small subunit ribosomal RNA", at positions 355 to 776 of the family's 1533-position model. The record is from RNAcentral. RNAcentral also lists the same sequence under 1 other name.